RNAcentral lists this ribosomal RNA (2882 nucleotides) under Ehrlichia sp. JZT12. RNAcentral's name for it is "23S ribosomal RNA". It matches the Rfam family "Bacterial large subunit ribosomal RNA". The record is from RNAcentral. Lineage: Bacteria; Pseudomonadati; Pseudomonadota; Alphaproteobacteria; Rickettsiales; Anaplasmataceae.
GAGUAAAUGAUAAAGAGCAUUUGAUGGAUGCCUUGGCGUUAAGAGGCGAUGAAAGACGUGGUAGGCUGCGAUAAGCUGGGGGAUUGUAAAGAAUUUUGAUCCGCAGAUUUCUGAAUGGGGAAACCCAAUCAAUUUAUUGAUUAUUGUAUAUUGAUUAAUUGGUUUUCCAGGGGAAACUUGUGGAAUUGAAAAUUUUAAUAAGUAGGGGGAAAGGAAAUCAAAGGGGCCCCGUUAAGUGGGGAGGGGGGAUGGGGGCCAAGGCAAUGGGUCCUAAGUUAAAAUUAGAAUACUUUGGAAAGAGUAGCCAUAGAUGGUGAUAGCCCAGUAUAAGUAAAAAGAUUAUGGAUCGUAGGGCGGGACACGUGGUACAUCCUGUCUGAAUAUGGGGGGACCAUCCUCCAAGGCUAAAUACUCCUGACUGACCGAUAGUGAACCAGUACCGUGAGGGAAAGGCGAAAAGAACCCCGGCGAGGGGAGUGAAAUAAGAACCUGAAACCGUGUACGUACAAGCAGUGGGAGCCUACCUUUGUGGGGUGACUGCGUACCUUUUGUAUAAUGGGUCAGCGACUUAUAUUCUGUAGCAAGGUUAACCGUAUAGGGGAGCCGUAGGGAAACCGAGUCUUAACUGGGCGUUAAGUUGCAGGGUAUAGACCCGAAACCCGGUGAUCUAGCCAUGGGCAGGUUGAAGGUUGGGUAACACUAACUGGAGGACCGAACCGACUAAUGUUGAAAAAUUAGCGGAUGACUUGUGGCUGGGGGUGAAAGGCCAAUCAAACCGGGAGAUAGCUGGUUCUCCCCGAAAGCUAUUUAGGUAGCGCCUCGUGAACUCAUCUUCGGGGGUAGAGCACUGUUUCGGCUAGGGGGCCAUCCCGGCUUACCAAACCGAUGCAAACUCCGAAUACCGAAGAAUGUUAUCACGGGAGACACACGGCGGGUGCUAACGUCCGUCGUGAAGAGGGAAACAACCCAGACCGCCAGCUAAGGUCCCAAAGUCAUGGUUAAGUGGGAAACGAUGUGGGAAGGCAUAGACAGCCAGGAUGUUGGCUUAGAAGCAGCCAUCAUUUAAAGAAAGCGUAAUAGCUCACUGGUCGAGUCGGCCUGCGCGGAAGAUGUAACGGGGCUAAACCAUGCACCGAAGCUGCGGCAGCGACGCUAAGUGUUGUUGGGUAGGGGAGCGUUCUGUAAGCCGUUGAAGGUGAGCUGUGAGGGUUGCUGGAGGUAUCAGAAGUGCGAAUGCUGACAUAAGUAACGAUAAAGCGGGUGAAAAGCCCGCUCGCCGGAAGACCAAGGGUUCCUGUCCAACGUUAAUCGGGGCAGGGUGAGUCGACCCCUAAGGCGAGGCCGAAAGGCGUAGUCGAUGGGAAACAGGUUAAUAUUCCUGUACUCGGUGUUACUGCGAAGGGGGGACGGAGAAGGCUAUGUCUAGCCGGGCGACGGUUGUCCCGGUUUAAGCAUGUAGGCGGAGUGACCUUAGGUAAAUCCGGUUACUUAUAACGCUGAGGUGUGAUGACGAGGCACUACGGUGCUGAAGUAAUAGAAUGCCAUGCUUCCAGGAAAAGCCUCUAAGCAUCAGGUAACACAGAAUCGUACCCCAAACCGACACAGGUGGUCAGGUAGAGAAUACCAAGGCGCUUGAGAGAACUCGGGUGAAGGAACUAGGCAAAAUGGUGCCGUAACUUCGGGAGAAGGCACGCUGGUGCGUAGGUGAAGAGACUUGCUCACGGAGCUGAAAUCCAGUCGAAGAUACCAGCUGGCUGCAACUGUUUAUUAAAAACACAGCACUGUGCAAACACGAAAGUGGACGUAUACGGUGUGACGCCUGCCCGGUGCCGGAAGGUUAAUUGAUGGGGUUAGCCGCAAGGCGAAGCUCUUGAUCGAAGCCCCGGUAAACGGCGGCCGUAACUAUAACGGUCCUAAGGUAGCGAAAUUCCUUGUCGGGUAAGUUCCGACCUGCACGAAUGGCGUAAUGAUGGCCAGGCUGUCUCCACCCGAGACUCAGUGAAAUUGAACUCGCUGUGAAGAUGCAGUGUACCCGCGGCAAGACGGAAAGACCCCGUGAACCUUUACUAUAGCUUGACACUGAACAUUGAGCCUUGAUGUGUAGGAUAGGUGGGAGGCUUUGAAGCGUGGACGCCAGUCUGCGUGGAGCCAACCUUGAAAUACCACCCUUUAAUGUUUGAUGUUCUAACUCAGACCCGUAAUCCGGGUUGAGGACAGUGUCUGGUGGGUAGUUUGACUGGGGCGGUCUCCUCCCAAAGAGUAACGGAGGAGCACGAAGGUUAGCUAAUCCUGGUCGGACAUCAGGAGGUUAGUGCAAAGGCAUAAGCUAGCUUGACUGCGAGAGUGACGGCUCGAGCAGGUACGAAAGCAGGUCUUAGUGAUCCGGUGGUUCUGAAUGGAAGGGCCAUCGCUCAACGGAUAAAAGGUACUCCGGGGAUAACAGGCUGAUACCGCCCAAGAGUUCAUAUCGACGGCGGUGUUUGGCACCUCGAUGUCGGCUCAUCACAUCCUGGGGCUGAAGUAGGUCCCAAGGGUAUGGCUGUUCGCCAUUUAAAGUGGUACGCGAGCUGGGUUUAGAACGUCGUGAGACAGUUCGGCCCCCCUCUCCCCGGGGGGGGGGGGGGGGGGGGGGGGGUGCCCCUAGUACGAGAGGACCGGAGUGGACGCACCACUGGUGUUCGGGUUGUCAUGCCAAUGGCAUUGCCCGGUAGCUAAGUGCGGAAAAGAUAAGCGCUGAAAGCAUCUAAGCGCGAAACUUGCCUCGAGAUGAGUCUUCCCUGGGCCUUUAAGGUCCCUGAAGGAACGUUGAAGACUACGACGUUGAUAGGCUGGGUGUGUAAGCGCUGUGUUAGUUAGAAAUUUAUAUCUUAUAAAGUACUUUA